Molecule: small nuclear RNA, 200 nt
Organism: Papaver somniferum (opium poppy)
Lineage: Eukaryota; Viridiplantae; Streptophyta; Magnoliopsida; Ranunculales; Papaveraceae
Product: U2 spliceosomal RNA
Exons: 1
Source: RefSeq, a predicted model, not a curated record
AUACCUUUCUCGGCCUUUUGGCUAAGAUCUAAGUGUAGUAUAUGUUCUUAUCAGUUUAAUAUCUGAUAUGCUUGUCUAUUGGACGACGCGAUAUUAAAUUUAUUUUUUUCAUGGGGGAGUUCCCAUCACGGCAGCUUGCUGCUGGGGUUCUCAUGAGUAGCCUCUGCGGUUCACUACUGCAAAGGCCUGGCGCACCCUAC